Non-coding RNA from Paramuricea clavata, 1021 nucleotides. NCBI's taxonomy places the organism in Eukaryota, Metazoa, Cnidaria, Anthozoa, Malacalcyonacea, Plexauridae. The record is from the annotation of a GenBank genome assembly.
UUUGAUUUUGUUUUCAGGUCUUCUUGGCUGGUUGUGCCCGUGCAUUCUUCAAUGCAUGGUCAGUAGUAAAGCUGGUGAGUGUUGUUGUGUGGGAUUCAUGUGUCCAAUUGCCUUGAGAACCAAGAUCAGGACAAGACAUAACAUUGCGGUAAGUGAUGGCUCUUUCUCGUCUUCUAACGGCGUAGCAUGCCAAAGCGCCUGGGUAUACGAGACUGGGUCCUUUAGGCAGAGCAGUUUAGAACUGACAGAGCUAUGUAGUAUGCAGCCAAUUCAAAAAAGGUUGCCCUUUGCAAACCUUAAACUCUAAAUCUUAAACUCCAAGCGUACAAAGCUUAAUGGGAGCACAAGUUUCAAUCUUAUAGUAGUUGAAUAUUGCAGCUAUUUGUGAAUAAAUGCAUGGGCCCCCUCAUGCUUUGCAAGCUUAGAGUUUAAAGUUUAAGGUUUAGAGUUUAAGGUAUGCAAAGGACAAACUUUUUUGAAUAGUAAAUAAAACUAGUUUAGUUUAGGUUUCCACCUGUAGUAUGCAUGGUAACAUUUAAACCAGUAAGAGAGAUGGGUCGUACUGGUGCUCUAGGGGAGAACGGUUUAGAUCCAAUAUAAAUAUAGUUAGUUAAUUAUUUCAUUGUUUAUUUCGAAAGGGAAGUAUUGUGGGGGACUCUCAAGCAGUGUCAUGCUGUGGGAUCUGUGCAAUGUGUCAAAUGGCAAGAGAACUCAACAUCCACGGAAUUUAACCAUCAAAUAUAAACGACACACUUUUUAUCUUUUAAAACUGUUUGUAAUGGAACAUUAAGUAUUGUUUAUAAUCUAAAAUUGUAAUUGUUGAUAAGAUAAUUUGCUGUGCCUAUAUCAAAUGGUAAAACCAACAAACAAAUGUAUGUCGAAUUUAUUUUGCCAGACUUGCCAGGGAAUUGUUUUUCUACAUUCAAGCGACUUUUCAGAAGCUUUUCAGAACACCGUUUUGAAACAUUUGUAUAAUGUUAUGAAACUAUUAGUACUUUAUACUAGAAUAGAAUGUUUGUUU